This 465-nucleotide ribosomal RNA is filed under the name uncultured bacterium. RNAcentral describes it as "partial 16S ribosomal RNA". It matches the Rfam family "Bacterial small subunit ribosomal RNA", at positions 339 to 795 of the family's 1533-position model. The record is from RNAcentral.
CUACGGGGGGCAGCAGUGGGGAAUAUUGGACAAUGGGGGCAACCCUGAUCCAGCCAUGCCGCGUGUGUGAAGAAGGCCUUUUGGUUGUAAAGCACUUUAAGCGAGGAGGAGGCUACUGGUACAAAUAUUACCAGCUAGUGGACGUUACUCGCAGAAUAAGCACCGGCUAACUCUGUGCCAGCAGCCGCGGUAAUACAGAGGGUGCGAGCGGUAAUCGGAAUUACUGGGCGUAAAGCGCGCGUAGGCGGUUUGUUAAGUCGGAUGUGAAAUCCCCGGGCUCAACCUGGGAAUUGCAUUCGAUACUGGCAAGCUAGAGUAUGGGAGAGGAAGGUAGAAUUCCAGGUGUAGCGGUGAGAUGCGUAGAGAUCUGGAGGAAUACCGAUGGCGAAGGCAGCCUUCUGGCCUAAUACUGACGCUGAGGUGCGAAAGCAUGGGGAGCAAACAGGAUUAGAUACCCCUGUAGUC